GUGGCCUGACUUGAUUUGAUUUUAAUUUGAAGUGGGACAAACAAGACAAAUUGUUGCGGCGGCAGACUGUCAGUGGUAUCUUCUGGUAGGUUUACUUACUUACACACACAUGUGGCGCGAACGAAUUAGAGUUGGCUGAUUGAUUGAUUGUUACGCGGAAAGCAAUUCAGUUUGGUUCGUGGUCGGCCAGCUGACGCGGAUAGUAUAUGCGCGAGCGACAGUCAGAUACGACGGUUGGGUUGCCAAGGUGCCAGCAGACUCCCAGGUAUGGCAUGAGCUAUCUGUGUUCGUCCAACCAAGCUCUCCGUAGGUUUCAUGUCUGAGGCAGUGAAAACCAAAACGUUCAGUUUUUUUUUUUUUUGCCAAGAACGCCCUAGGUGUUGUUUUGCGAUACACAUGUUCGACCGCUACACUAUUUGAUGUCUCUACACUAUUUGUAUUUUUAUAUAAAUUCAGUAGACAUAAGAAAAAUUGACUUAAAAUAAUUUUAGAAACUAAUUUAUUUAGGAAUAGAGGGAGUACAUCAAAGAAGUCACCUUCACUCCUCACACUGAGGUAAAAGGCCCAUGUAAAUGAAUUAUCGUCAUAUAAGAUCAAGUAGAUACUAUCUUCAUUCAAGCCGGAUAUGAUUGCCUUCGUUCAAUCGUUGGCAUAUGGUAAUAAGGAAAAACACAAACAAACAAACAACAUCAAUAAUGCAUCUACUUUCUUUGGCCAUAUAUAUGUUUGGUUUUCUCACCCAUGGAGCUUGUCUCGCCUCAUGUUGCCUUGCCGGCAUAAGAGAGUCAAAUUGUAUUGUCCAUCUAAGUAAAUAAAAACCUUGCUUUCAUCAUGAGCUAAAAAGGCCGCUGGAAAGAGAUCCCACAACAAUUGUU
Molecule: long non-coding RNA, 875 nt
Filed under: Sorghum bicolor (sorghum)
Lineage: Eukaryota; Viridiplantae; Streptophyta; Magnoliopsida; Poales; Poaceae
Description: long non-coding RNA (SBIC_LNC005417)
Source: RNAcentral